GAUGAACGCUGGCGGCGUGCCUAAUACAUGCAAGUCGAGCGAACGGACGAGAAGCUUGCUUCUCUGAUGUUAGCGGCGGACGGGUGAGUAACACGUGGAUAACCUACCUAUAAGACUGGGAUAACUUCGGGAAACCGGAGCUAAUACCGGAUGAUAUUUUGAACCGCAUGGUUCAAAAGUGAAAGACGGUCUUGCUGUCACUUAUAGAUGGAUCCGCGCUGCAUUAGCUAGUUGGUAAGGUAACGGCUUACCAAGGCAACGAUGCAUAGCCGACCUGAGAGGGUGAUCGGCCACACUGGAACUGAGACACGGUCCAGACUCCUACGGGAGGCAGCAGUAGGGAAUCUUCCGCAAUGGGCGAAAGCCUGACGGAGCAACGCCGCGUGGGUGAUGAAGGUCUUCGGAUCGUAAAACUCUGUUAUUAGGGAAGAACAUAUGUGUAAGUAACUGUGCACAUCUUGACGGUACCUAAUCAGAAAGCCACGGCUAACUACGUG
Molecule: ribosomal RNA, 497 nt
Filed under: uncultured bacterium
Lineage: Bacteria
Description: partial 16S ribosomal RNA
Rfam family: Bacterial small subunit ribosomal RNA
Source: RNAcentral